RNAcentral lists this ribosomal RNA (1346 nucleotides) under uncultured bacterium. RNAcentral's name for it is "partial 16S ribosomal RNA". It matches the Rfam family "Bacterial small subunit ribosomal RNA", at positions 28 to 1381 of the family's 1533-position model. The record is from RNAcentral.
GACGAACGCUGGCGGCGUGCUUAACACAUGCAAGUCGAACGGAAAGGCCCUGCUUUUGUGGGGUGCUCGAGUGGCGAACGGGUGAGUAACACGUGAGUAACCUGCCCUUGACUUUGGGAUAACUUCAGGAAACUGGGGCUAAUACCGGAUAGGAGCUCCUGCUGCAUGGUGGGGGUUGGAAAGUUUCGGCGGUUGGGGAUGGACUCGCGGCUUAUCAGCUUGUUGGUGGGGUAGUGGCUUACCAAGGCUUUGACGGGUAGCCGGCCUGAGAGGGUGACCGGCCACAUUGGGACUGAGAUACGGCCCAGACUCCUACGGGAGGCAGCAGUGGGGAAUAUUGCACAAUGGGCGGAAGCCUGAUGCAGCAACGCCGCGUGCGGGAUGACGGCCUUCGGGUUGUAAACCGCUUUCGCCUGUGACGAAGCGUGAGUGACGGUAAUGGGUAAAGAAGCACCGGCUAACUACGUGCCAGCAGCCGCGGUGAUACGUAGGGUGCGAGCGUUGUCCGGAUUUAUUGGGCGUAAAGGGCUCGUAGGUGGUUGAUCGCGUCGGAAGUGUAAUCUUGGGGCUUAACCCUGAGCGUGCUUUCGAUACGGGUUGACUUGAGGAAGGUAGGGGAGAAUGGAAUUCCUGGUGGAGCGGUGGAAUGCGCAGAUAUCAGGAGGAACACCAGUGGCGAAGGCGGUUCUCUGGGCCUUUCCUGGCGCUGAGGAGCGAAAGCGUGGGGAGCGAACAGGCUUAGAUACCCUGGUAGUCCACGCUGUAAACGGUGGGUACUAGGUGUGGGGUCCACUCCACGGGUUCCGUGCCGUAGCUAACGCUUUAAGUACCCCGCCUGGGGAGUACGGCCGCAAGGCUAAAACUCAAAGGAAUUGACGGGGCCCCGCACAAGCGGCGGAGCAUGCGGAUUAAUUCGAUGCAACGCGUAGAACCUUACCUGGGUUUGACAUGGAUCGGGAGUGCUCAGAGAUGGGUGUGCCUCUUUUGGGGUCGGUUCACAGGUGGUGCAUGGCUGUCGUCAGCUCGUGUCGUGAGAUGUUGGGUUAAGUCCCGCAACGAGCGCAACCCUUGUUCACUGUUGCCAGCACGUUAUGGUGGGGACUCAGUGGAGACCGCCGGGGUCAACUCGGAGGAAGGUGGGGAUGACGUCAAGUCAUCAUGCCCCUUAUGUCCAGGGCUUCACGCAUGCUACAAUGGCUGGUACAGAGAGUGGCGAGCCUGUGAGGGUGAGCGAAUCUCGGAAAGCCGGUCUCAGUUCGGAUUGGGGUCUGCAACUCGACCUCAUGAAGUCGGAGUCGCUAGUAAUCGCAGAUCAGCAACGCUGCGGUGAAUACGUUCCCGGGGCU